UACGGGGGGUGCAAGCGUUAAUCGGAUUUACUGGGCGUAAAGAGCUCGUAGGCGGCUAUUUAAGUUGGAUGUGAAAGCCCCGGGCUUAACCUGGGAACUGCAUUCAAAACUGGGUAGCUAGAGUAAGGGAGAGGAGAGUGGAAUUUCCGGUGUAGCGGUGAAAUGCACAGAUAUCGGAAGGAACACCAGUGGCGAAGGCGACUCUCUGGCCUAUUACUGACGCUGAGGAGCGAAAGCGUGGGGAGCAAACAGG
RNAcentral lists this unclassified non-coding RNA (253 nucleotides) under uncultured Gammaproteobacteria bacterium. RNAcentral describes it as "contains 16S-23S intergenic spacer region". It matches the Rfam family "Bacterial small subunit ribosomal RNA", at positions 524 to 776 of the family's 1533-position model. The record is from RNAcentral. Lineage: Bacteria; Pseudomonadati; Pseudomonadota; Gammaproteobacteria.